GAUUCUUGAUUCAAUUUUUCGUUCUGCUUGAUAAUUUUCGAGGGAGAAAGUAACAUUUUCAUUUUUACGUAACAAAGUCAUCUAGAGACAAACCUUCUCUUGUUUUCUCACAGCUUUGGGGAAACUUCAGAGGACACGGCUUGGUCUGUUCAUUAUGCUAACUAUAGCUGCCUAUAAAUAAGAGGGUUGACCUCAAUUGUGUGAGUAAAAGAACUGCUAUACUUGUGUUCCUUUCUGUAAUAACGAAAGCCUCUUACUUAAUUCAGUGUCUCUACUUCUUCAGCAAAAUAAAAAUAAAUUCUUUAUCGAAAUACACCCAACUUUUCCAUUUUUCUUAUAAAAAUGACACCACGUUAGGAUGGGAUUGUGCUUGUGUUGUGUCAUUGAUCUAUCCAUAUUUGUUUUUCCCAAAAACAAUUUCCAUGAAGGAGGAUGUUUUGCUGCUUGUUAGUGCACGCUAUUUAAGCACAAGACAUGAUUGAGAUUUAUGCAAGGUAUGUGGUAGAAUUUAUGUAAGACGACCGAUGAUUCAUUAGGAAAGCUAGACAUGAGAGUCAGUAAGUUUUACUAUGGUGAUCAACGCGUUGAAGAAAAAUUUUAGAAUUUUUAUUAUAAGUGGUGCAUACAAAAGUUGGUGAGUCGAGCUUGUACUCAAAUACUAGCUCAUGUAUUAGGAGUUGCCUUAGCCUUACGUUAUUAAUCUAGUAACUAAUAUUAGCGAUGUGAAAUAUUUUUUCUAUCAUCUUCCAUCAUAUGUGUGUAGGUCAAUCUUUUUGUUUGGUCCUUGUCUUGUGAUAAGAUAGUGUUAGUGAUUUUGAGAGAAAAUAUGAAAAACACAAACAAUGAAAAUUCCCUUUUACUUAAACUAAGACACAGAUUUUUUCACAGUGAAGUUGAUAGAAGACACUCGAAUGCGCAGGAGUGAAAUCUUGACAAAUUAAAGCGAGAACUAAGACAUGCUAGUCCUUUCUCGCGCAUUUAGUUGACAUUAUUUUGCUUUGCAAAUAAAUGGCUAAAUGCGGGCAUGGUUGAAGGCAUUUUAUCUUUCCGGAAGUGGAUGGAGAAAUAAAUAUAAUUAAAAGGGAUGCGAAUAAUAAAUGCCAGUUUUUCUUAAUAACGAAGAAUAUAUUAGAAAUAAAUUGAAAUGUAACAAAAUACUUGAAAUAAUUCAAGUGAUUGGUUUUUUCUCCGUCAAUAACGCUUGAUAGUUCCUUGUCAUGAGCUUCUUAUCUUCUGUCUUGAAGGAAGAAAUUGCAAAAGACGAAUAAAACGAUUUCCUUUACACAUUCAAUCAAUGCUGCUGCCUUCAUAUCUUUAUUAUUCUCGGAGGGAUGAUACUGUUGAGAGCCGAAACCAUUACCCAUUCUCACUCCUCUUAUGGCCAUUUCUAACCCUCUACAAUAAUUUCGAUAUUGCUGUUCUUCAGUUCUUCCACUAUUCAACAAAUGCGAAGGUAUGCGAUGGCUCCACUCAAUCAAGUUGAUUUUACAUUUGUUACAAUCUACUCCCGCCAUUGCUAGAGCCUCUAUGGACAUGUUUUAACAAGGUGAAGGUGGAGCUAAAUAAAAUUCACAAUUUUCCUGAAAGUUUACAGCUUCCAGGAAAUUCACCACCUCUAUAGAAUUGUAAUAAUAAGAAUUGUGGUCUCCGUAAAAGAAUUUAUAAGAGUUAAUAUAAAAGAUUUGUUUAGGAGAAUGAAUUUUAUACGGACUAGAAAUAUUCAUGAUUAAUUGGUUAUUCAGAUGGUUUAGAAAUCCUCUCGAUAUUAGGAAGCCAUUUAAGAUUCUGAUUAUUGUUGUUCUAAAUAUUAGUUUGCACCAACUUCCAAUUCCACAAUUACUCUAACAGCGGUUUUCACGGACUUAUUUAUGUAUCUGAAUCUUUGUAUUCAUGAAAGAAUAAUCUCUUGCAAACGCACAACUUCAAUUAUGAAUCAACUACCUAGCAACCAUUUCUUUACUUUUAAUUGCUUUGGAAAUUAAGGAUUCGUCAGCUGCCAAAUUCUGCAGUGAUUCUUUUUUUUUUUGGUACGUUGGAGCCUAGUAAAACUAGGCUAAAACAGAACGGGGAAUAGAGGUCCCAUAUAUAUCAUUACAUAACCAAUAACCAAGACCCUCAGGGGGAUUUUCAAAGACAUGAAGUCCAAGGGGUAAGGAACCAGCAAGUUUCGCCAUGGAAUCUGUAGCAAAAUUGGCUUCCCGAUAUAUAUGCUUUAUGGUAAUGAGCCAUUGUCUAUUCAUCAGUUCCUUUAUGGCAGUUAUGAGAGAAAAAUGUGCAUUAGACAUCAAGCUAGUAGAGGAAAUAAGUUGGGAAAUACAUUGGCUAUCCACCUCUGCAAUUAAAUAACGAAUGCCACGGUCCCAAGCAAUAUUAAGUCCUUGAAAAAAACCCUAAAGUUCUGCAGUAGUCACCCAUCCAAAUCCAAUGUUCAUGCCAAAGCCAAACUGCCACUUUCCGGAGCAUUCCCUCACCAAGCCCCCAGCGCUGGCUAGACCAUUCUUUAAUCGUGAUCCAUCAGUAUUUAAUUUGAAAAAAGAUUCAGGGGGAGCUUGCCAUCUAACAUCUUUGAUGAUCUUAUUAGUUUGACCGAAACUAAGAGUUGAUCGUGCAUUUUGAAUGUCUUGAACCCAAGAUUUAAUUUCAGCAACAACAUGAGUGCAUCAAGGGGAUUUUUGUGAGAAAAGAAAUUGAUUCCGCAGUGAUUCUGUUGCAUUGGAUGUCUUCAAUUUCCUUUUGCAUUCAAUUAUUUGUUGAACUAUUUAUGCACGAGUGGAGGAGGAAUUCUAGAAUACAUUUGAAAUAAUACAAUCAACCAAUGCAUGCACACCACUUGUAUGGAGAUUUUUCAAAAAUAAAUGUACACAUGUCAUAACAUUAUCUACUUGUUAUAUGACUGACAUGAUAUUUUUUAUGUAUUCUAAAUUUUUUCUGCGUGGAGACCAUGAGUGGUAACAUCCUCAUGACAAAAGAGUAUUACAAAGAGAGAAUCACUUGUCAAUUUAAAUAUUUAUUGUAUUGAAACUACUAAGUAUAUAAGCUCGGACAACCCUAAUUUCAUGAAGAGGGGUUAAAGACAAUACUAUUCUAAAAGAAAAUGGAACGAAAUCGUCCAUCCAUAGCCAUUAUUUGACUUUUAGAUUUGCCCUUCCAAAUUUUAACAAAAUGCGCAGACGAUUUUUAAUUUAUUUAUGUGAGCGAAGUACAACAAAAUUACUGAACCAAUCAGAACCAAGAUGGAAAUGAUCAUAAGCAAAAGUAAUUGGAAGGACGAAUGGAAGCAGAUAAAUUAUUCUAAUUAAGAAGGAUAUUUACUAGGAUCAUACCUUAAUCACUUUAUUAUAAAUUAAAAAUGUCCGUACAAAAACUGCCGCAAAUUAAUUAAACUAUUGGAAAAAGAAAACUUGUAGACAAAAUCUCAAUGAAUUUUAAGCCCAUUUGGCUAACAAAGACAUGCAACCAGCGCCUAAAAGAAGAGAAACAUUUGCUCCAAACUGAAGCCUUUUAUUGGUUUGCAUCUUUGGAUUCAUAAAAUCUGCAGCAAGAAGACCCACCAAGGACAUGUAUAUUAGGAUUCCGGCUGCCGCUGCAUUGAAUAUUCCUUCAACAAUAAGAGCAGUGGGGCUAUUUUCGUCAUAAACACUUGAUAUUCCAAUGCCUAAUUUUACACUAAUUUGAUCAUUUUGUAAUAUAAAAAUUUGACAAUUGAAAAACAAAUCAACUUUUUUUUUCUUAAAAGAAAACGAAUCAACUUUUAAAUUCAUUUUGAAGUAAAAAAAAAAGUUGACAGUAAAAUACUAUUAACGUAAGGGGAUUUCAGUAAAUUUUAGAACAUGAGAGAUAAAUGACUAAUUUUACAAGACAAAGGGGGUUAAUUUUCUCCUAAAAAAAAUUAGGUAUUGGUUGAUGACUUUUAAAAAACAGACUACUCUUUAUAAUUAUUUGUUUUAAUUUUCUUUUUGUUCGACCAAAACUCGCAUGGUAUUGGGAUAUACCUAAAUUUGAUGUAAAAUUAGGGAUUAGUUAAAUGAAAUAAUUUAAACACUGCAUAAAAUCUGCCUUUGUCGAUGCUAUCUCACUGUCUUAAGGCCUAACUUCUUGAAAUUUUUUCUGAAAGAUACAACAGGAUCACUUAUCCACAAGCCUAGUCAGCAACUUAGACACUAUUUUCAGCAUUAGCAUUGACAUAAGAACAAAACGUACAAUUGAGCUUUUUAAAAAACAUUGCAGUUGAUUGGAUUGUUAAUAAGUAUGGCACCAUAUGGAUGAUAAAAUUAAGCAGGAAGAAAGAAAAAAUAAAUUUUAUUAUGCAAAAAAUAAACUACAAACUAGGCACAAUAAAUAAAUAAAAAUAAAUUUUAUUAUGCAACCCAGAAUUCUCCUUUGCUGUCUGCCUCAAUGUUGUCCGGAAAUUUUUGGAGCUGAGCAAAAGGUUGUGGAGGGCACAUAGCUCUAUGGUCAUGGAGCCAAAACCUCAGAACUCGCAUUGAGAUGGAUUCAGCCACUAAGAGGAACGUCUUGUCCUUGAUUAGGGCAACUCCAUUUGGAAAUGCCAAACCUCUGUACAUGAUUGUCACCUCAUUGCUGUGUGGAUCAUACUUCAAGUAACUUCCCGCUUCUGCCUCCGUUAUCGAUUACAGAAGAAUAUUGCCUACAAGAAUAGUAAUUCGGUGUAAGCAUUGUCAAAUAUUAAUCUGGAAUUGAUGAACAAGAAUUAAGAAAAGAAAAUAUCCUUCUUUGAAAAUACAUGCUACUGUCAGUAAAAUAAACGACUCCAGUACUAGGAUCGAUAUCCAAGGCAUAUACAUGCUACUGUCAAUAAAAAAAGAAAGAAAAAUAUAAAUAAAUUAUCAAAUAAAAAAAUAUAAAUAAAUGGCACGUAAUGUUUAUUUUUCAUUUAUAAUAAAGUUUAAUAUACCAAAUGACUGGUGAGGUACCACCAUACCAGGCGGUGCAUGGAAAGAUGGGGAAUUUGGGACUUCCAGUGCGGCGAGAGACUGAGCAUGAGGGUGCUGCAGCGGCUGGGCAUCACUUAUGAGGUAGCUACUUAAUGACCUGAUCAGUUGAGUUUUGGGGAAUUUGGAUUUUGGAUCAAUUAGUUAGGGAGUUGAGUGAGUUUUGUAACUUUAAGAAAAUAUAAUUUGACUGUAAUUAUUAGUUAUAUCUUUAUUUUUUUACGAUAAGUUUUAAUAAGAGUAAAUUUACAAUUAACUAUUAUUAUUAAAAAAAAACCUUAGCCUCCUCUUACCUCCGCCCUUGGUACCUGCUAAAACCAAAUACCCAAAUUAUGAAAACGAAGAGCGAGACGAUAUGUUACUGGAUUGCUAUCAAAAUUUGAAGCUAGAACUUAGCAAUUGCCCAAAGAUAAAGAUUUGCUAAGAUUUUAGACCCACAGACUUUUUAUUACCAAUUUAUCUUCUUUCCUUUAAGAAUGAUGGUGAUUUGUAGAGCCAUGCCCUGUAUUCAAAAUAAACAAAUUUGAAGAAUAUAUCUGUUGAUUCCGGUAGGGCAGGAGUCUCAUGCACAAGUUUCUCAUCUAUUUUCUUACCAGAACAAAUUUCUAGUCAAAAUGAGGGUGUGAAAGGAAGAUAAAUAGACGAAAUUUGGCCCACCACUUCAUUCUUCCUAAAUGAAUAGCUUUUUACCCUAUUAAACGAGGAAAAAUGGAUUAGAUUCUCCCUUAAUUUGAUCUGAUUAGUGAUUACUAAAUAAAGACCACACACUUUAUUGUAGUGUGUUUCGUCAUUUAAUACAUUGAAGUUUGUAUGUGGCCCUAGUUUUAGAUCACUUAAUUGGAAAGGGACUUCCUUUUUUUUUUGAUACAUUGGAGUCUAGUAAAACUAGGCUAAAACAAAACAGGGAAUAGAGGUUCCAUAUAUAUCAUUACAUAACUAAUAACCAAGACCCUUGGAGGGGUUUUCAAAGACAUGAAAUCUAAGGGGUAAGGAACCAGCAAGUUUCGCCAUGGAAUCUGCAGCAAAAUUGGCUUCCCAAUAUAUAUACUUUAUAGUAAUGAGCUAUUGUCUAUUUAUCAGUUCCUUUACGGCAGUUAUUGUUAUAAGUGAAUAUGAAAUAGUUCAUUCAAAGCAAGGAUAAAUGGAUGAAAGUACUACUAAUUUUAUUCACAAUGAGGUUGCCUUUUAUAGGCGUUACAUGAACAAACUUAACGAAAUAAUAGCAGCCAUUAUUCAGCAAAUAUUGCAGCCACUUUCCAGUAACCCUAGCCUAAAGACUAGGUAAACACAAUCUUGCAAAUAACAUUACCAACAAACUUCCUAAAGACUAGGACCAUAAAAGCAACUUAUUGACACAAGGAAAUUCCAACAAUCCCUCCCUUAAACUAAAUGUUAUUAACAUUCAGUUUAAACAUUCUGCAGAAUCUUCCUCAAAUUGUAAUUUACAAACUCCAAGUGACUUUCUCAACUUCAAAAAACUAGCCAAUUUGAGGGGUUUAGUAAAGAUGUCAUCAACUUGGUCUUCACUCCUGCAAUAAACAAGAUCAAUGACUUCAUUUUUUGUCAAGUCUCGCAAGAAAUGGUAUCUCACAUCUAUGUGCUUGCAUCUUCCAUGUAGAACCGGAUUCUUUGAAAGUUUAAUUGUUGAACUAUUAUCACAGAAGAUUUGUGUUGACUCUGGUUGCUUAAACUGAAGUUCAUGAAGAAUAUUUCUCAAUCAAAGUGCUUGACAUGCACAAGAAGCUGCUGCAACAAACUCAGCCUCAGUUGUUGACAAAGUAACUAUCGGUUGCUUCUUAGAUGACCAUGAAAUAGCUGCUGAACCAAACAUAAAUACAUAUCCAGAUGUGCUUCUUCUGUCAUCCAAAUCUCCAGCAUAAUCACUGUCUGCAAAGCCAUACAAAUAUGAUUUUUUACCCUUUUUGUAGAACAACCCAAAUUCAGCAGUACUACGCAAGUAUCGAAGAAUUCUCUUUGCAGCUAAAAGAUGAUCCUCUCUUGGACGCUCCAUAUAUAUGCUGAUGGCACUAACUGCAUGCAUUAUAUCAAGUCGAGUUGCCAUUAAGUACAUCAAGCUUCCAGCAAUAUGUUUGUAAAGGGUACUAUCAACUAUUCUUUCUACAAGAUCCUUAACAAGCUUAAAUCCUUUUUCAAUUGGAGUAGUGACAGAGUUGCAGUUCUUCAUUUGAAAUCUUUCUAAGAUCUCUUCCACAUAUUUCUUUUGACAAAUAAAAUUUCCAGCAUCAGAUUGUAUGACUUCUAAGCCAAGAAAAUAAUGCAGCAAACCAAGAUCAGUCAUAUCAAAUUCAAGCAUAAUGGAUUCCUUGAAUUUCUCAAACAUUACUAUGUCAUUUCUCGUGUAAAUCAAAUCAUCUACAUAUAAGCAUACCAUAAGCAUUUUCCCAUCAUCUCCAAUUUUUAUGUACAGAGUAUGCUCAUAUGGGCAUUUUCGAAAACCUUCCUUCAAGAAAUAAGCAUCUAUAUGACUAUACCAAGCUCGGGGUGCUUGUUUUAGUCCACAUAGAGCUUUUUUCAAUUUAUAGACUUUAUGCUCACUGCCUAAUUUCACAUAUCCAGGAGGCUGUUCGAUAAAUACCUCUUCUUGUAGCUCCCCAUGCAAGAAUGCUGAUUUCACGUCUAGUUGAAAAACAUGCCAUGAAUUUUGUGCUGCAAGAGCAAUAAUCAAUCUGAUCGUUUCAAGUCUUGCAACGGGAGCAAAUACUUCCUUAUAAUCCACGCCAAACUCUUGCUUGUAGCCUUUGGCGACUAGGCGUGCCUUGUAUUUAUCAAUUUCACCAUUUUCCUUCAAUUUUGUCUUGUAAACCCACUUGACUCCUAUUGUCCUCUGCCCCAUUGGAAGUUCAGUCAACUCCCAAGUAUUAUUUUUUUCAAUGGCUGCAAUUUCUUCGUCUAUGGCUUUUAGCCAUUUUUGUUCUUUGACAGCUUCUUUAAAAGUUGUAGGAUCACAUUCUGAAAACAAGGCAAAGUGUAUGAGUGGAUUCUCAAGAGUGUUAAAUCCUGUUACCUCAUAAUCUAACAUCCAUGCAGGCCUUCUUUUAUCACGUUGAGAACGUGAAUCUGUAGCUUCAACUUGUUCAUCAAGUUUAUUUGUUGCUGGUGGAGUUUCUGCUGAGACUCUAUUUUGCGGCAGGUCAGGAGCAGAGACUGUUGAAGGCUGAAGUUGCUGUGAAUUUUCUUCAAUUUCACCAUCGAAAUCUGCUGGAAUUUACUGCCCAACAGAACUGCAUCUCCACAUCCAUGUCUUCUCUUCAUAAAAAAUGACAUCACGACUAAUGACAAUUUUCUUGAUGAUGGGAUCAUAUAAUUUGUAGGCCUUUGAAUGAUCACUAACACCAAGAAAAAUGCACUUUACACCUUUGUGAUCUAAUUUUCUUCUUUUCUCAUCUGGUACGUGGACAUAUGCUAUACAUCCAAAUACCCGAAAGUGAUCUACUGCCGGCUUACAUCCACUCCAUGCUUCUUCAGGAGUUAUAUUUUGAACAGCUAUUGUGGGGCUUCUGUUCAAAAUAAAAAAACACUCCAAACAAUUGCUUCAGGCCAAAAACUUUUGGGAAGACCACUCCUCUGCAGAAGGCUUCGUACCAUAUUAAGAAUUGUAUGAUUUUUCCUCUUGCAUACACCAUUUUGCUGAGGUGUGUAGGCUGCUGUCAAUUGUCUUCUAAUUCCAUGAUUUUCACAAAAGCUUCCAAAUUCUUGAGAGUUGAACUCUCCACCAGGAUCAGUACGAAUAUUUUAAUUUGGUUGUCAACUUCUCUUUCAACUAGUGCUUUAAACAUUUGAAAGGCUGUGAAAGCUUCCGAAUUUUCUUGCAAGAAAUAAACCCAGGUUUUUCGACUAAAAUCAUCAAUAAAUGAGAUAAAAUAUCGUUUACCUCCAUUUGAUGUUGGCUUGAUUGGCCCACAUAAGUCAGAAUGCACUAGCUCCAACACUUUCUUUGCCCUCCGGGAUUUUCCUUUUGGAAAAUUAUCUCGAUGUUGCUUACUGACAAUACACUCUUCGCAAAGCUGUGAAGGUUGCUCAAAUUGUGGAAGGCCUACCACCAUAUUUUUCUGCUGCAAGGUCUUCAAUCCACCAAAACUAAGAUGCCCGUAACGAAAGUGCCAUAACCAUGCUGUAUCUUUGAAAUUUGCAGCAAAACAUGAGUGUGCAGUAUGGUGAAGAUACAAUGGAAACAUUCUGUUUGCCGUCAUUUUCACUUGAGCAAUUAAGCCUAAUUUUUCAUCAUGGAUUCGGCAAACUGCUUCCUUGAUAGAGAUCUCAUAGCCCUUUUCUUGUAACAGGCCAACACUGAGAAGGUUAGUUUUCAGUUCAGGAACGAAUAGAACAUUUGAGAUAGAAUGAGAACUUUCCUUGGUUUGGAUUGCAACCCUUCCUUUCCCUAUGACAGAAACUGUGGAGUCAUCACCAAAUUUUACAAUAUUUUGAAAAGUCUCAUCCAAGUCAGAAAAAGCAGAUUUAUCCCCACACAUAUGAUUGCUGCAACCGGUAUCUAAGUACCAUAGAUUUUGGUGACUUUCCUCCUUUGUAUGACAUGCCAUAAGAAGGGAAAUUUCUUCUUCCUCCUUUUCUGCAAAGUUAUAUUUCUCGCCACGAUUCUUAUUUAAAUUAGUACGGCACUCGGAGCGGUAAUGACCGUACUUCUAACAACGUAAGCAUUUAACAUUCGAUUUGUCUUUAGACUUUGGUUUAUGUCCUGUCGAAUUCUGACCAUCACAAUCCUUUCCUUUUCCUUGAGAAUCAUCAACCUUUUCUUCUGAUCUGUUCUGCCCAUUCUUGCCUUUCCAACCUCGUUUACCCCCUCCAGUUGGUUUGAGAUUUGCUGCUGCCUGUAAUGCCUGUUCUUCCUUAUCCUAUCGGAUUACUUUCUGCUCAUGGACUAGCAAAGUUCUUUCCAAUUCAUCAAUUGAAAGUGUGUCAAUAUCCCUUGAUUCCUCAAUCGCACAAACAAUAUAGUUAAAUUUUGCCGUUAAAGAUCAAAGAAUCUUCUCAAUUAUGAUAACAUCCUCGAGCUGCUCGCCAUGAAUUCGUCUCUUAUUUGCGAUUGCCAUUGUCCUUGCAAAGUAUGCUGAGACCGACUCUCCCAUCUUCAUUCGUAGAGAUUCAAAUUCAGCUCGAAGUGUCUGGAGGUGUACCCGUUUUGCCCUUGUUGUCCCUUGGUACUUCUUUUUCAAGGAAUCCCAAAUUUGUUUGGAGGAGUCUUUGUUAAGAAUUGUUUCCAAGAUUGAGCGAUCAAUAGCUUGGAACAAGUAAUUCUUUGCCUUGAGAUCCUUUAAUCGUUGCCCUUCAAGCUCUAUUUUCUGAGCAUCCGUCAAAACAACACCGGCUGGUGGUUCAGUUAUUCCAAUUGAAACAACCUGCAAAUACUCCUUGGACCUUAAGAAAUUCUCCAUCAACAUGCUCUAAUGGUCAUAGUGACCAUCAAAGCGGGGAAUUACAGGUUGAACAAAAUUCUCAGAAGCCAUGAAUUUCUGCUGCUGCAACACGAGUGAAAAAAGAGCCAAGUAAGCUGCUGUUACUAACUCUGUCAAUUCCACUUUUCUAAUUCAAGCUCUGAUACCACUGUUAUAAGUGAAUAUGAAAUAGUUCACUCAAAGAAGGAUAAAUGGAUGAAAGUACUACUAAUUUUAUUCACAAUGAGGUUGCCUUUUAUAGGCGUUACAUGAACAAACUUAACGAAAUAAUAGCAGCCAUUAUUCAGCAAAUAUUGUAGCCACUUUCCAGUAACUCUAGCCUAAAGACUAGGUAAACACAAUCUUGCAAAUAACAUUACCAACAAACUUCCUAAAGACUAGGACCAUAAAAGCAACUUAUUGACACAAGGAAAUUCCAACAGUUAUGAGAGAAAAAAUGUGCAUUAGGCAUCAAGCUAGUAGAGGAAAUAAGUUGGGAAACACAUUGACUAUCCACCUCUGCAAUUAAAUAACGAAUGCCACGGUCCCAAGCAAUAUUAAGUCCUUGAAAAAGACCCCAAAGUUCUGCAGUAGUCACCGAUCCAAAUCCAAUGUUUAUGCCAAAGCCAAACUGCCACUUUCCAGAGCAAUCCCACACCAAGGCCCCAGCGCUGGCUAGACCAUUCUUUAAUCGUGAUCCAUCAGUAUUUAAUUUGAAAAAAGAUUCAAGGGGAGCUUGCCAUCUAACGUCUUUGAUAAUCUUAUUACUCUAACCGAAACUAAGAGUUGAUCGUGCAUUUUGAAUGUACUGAGCCUAAGAUUUAAUUUCAGCAACAACAUGAGUGCAGCAAGGGGAUUUUUGUGAGAAAAGAAAUUGAUUACGCCAAAACCAAAUUUUCUAGAUAGCCGCUCCAAAUAAACAUGCCCAUUCAUCCCCCACUUCAUUGAUACCAGUCGUUCCCAAGUUGAAACAGAGCCAAUCACGAAAAUUAAAGGAGAAAAAAUGAUGUCUGAAGUUGACCGGAAUUAAACAAUUCCAUAUUCUCUUUGCAACAAAACAGUCCCUAAGUGCAUGCAUCGCGUUUUCUCUCUCAUGGCCACAUCUUUCAGUAUUCAUUUUAUCAAGAAUAUGCCUCUUAAAAAGCUCCUCUCUAGUUUUAAUUUUUCCAUGCAUCACCAACCAUAAAAAAAUUUUAACUCGUUGGGGCCGGGAAAGGGACUUCCUUAAUUAUUUUUCAAAAGCACAUCCUAUAAAACUCCAACAGAUGGAGUCCAAGUUCUAGAAGAGAUGAACAAAUGAUGUCAAUUAAAUGGCAAUAGCUCGCCAAAGAAGACAGAGAAACAAGUUAGGAGAGAUUCUAGAGUGUACCAAAAGUAUUACAUUUAAUAUAUAUAUAUAUAUAUAUAUUUUAUGUGUGUAUUUAUUUUAAAAAAUUAUUAUGUAAUUAAUUAUUAUAUUUAAUUAAACUAUACAUAUCAUAUAUGUAUUAGUUAUAUGUAGCACUUAUAUUAUACUCUAGAAUUUCUCACAAGAUAAUAUGUCAAUAUACCACAAACACAAAGUUUGAAUCCUGUGAAAUAUGUUUAAAAUUGACUCUUGCAGAAAUUAUUAUGCGGUGGUGAAAUGAUUAUGAUAAAUAAUAUAUUAACACAUGUCAAUAUAUAAUUAUGCUACAUCAAUGAGGGUACCAUUGGUUUCACAUUUUUAUUUUACGUCUUAACUUUUGUAUUGACAAUAUUAGUUUUGUAUUUUAUACACAUAUAUAUAACUAGUAAGUUAUUUUUUGCAAUCAAUAAAUAUCUAAUAACUCAAUACUUUUAUAUUUAUGCUCAUAAAAUUUUUACUUUUUAAAUAAAUAUUAAAAUAUCUUAAAAAUAAUAAAUUAUAUUUUUUAACACUAAUUAAAACAAAUAAUUUUCACAUUUAAUCUUGUUUUAGUUAAUAACAUGGACCAUUCGCUCACCACUUGGCAUAACUUUGUAACCUAGGUCCUGUUUGGAAUCGAAGUAUUAUACCUUUUAAGUUACAACUGCCGUAAAAAAGUUGUAAUUAUAAAAAAAAAAUUAAUAGCUGUGAACUUAAAGAUUGCUUACUAAACUUUAGGUAUUUAUUUAUUUAAUUAAUUGUCUAAAAUUUACUUGUUAAUGUUAUUGACAAUACGUAUGUAUUGAUUAAAAAGAUGAAGUAAGGUAUUGAUCUUAUUGAUCAACAGAAAUAUUUUAUACUAGAUUGACAUAUUUGUGUAUUUAUUUUAAUGUUAAAACUUUAAUUUCUCAUUUGUACUGAUAAAAUUUAGAAAUGGGUAUUCUAUGUAGAUUUUUAAGCUCCUAUUAUAAAUUUAUAGUUUGACUUAUAUAAUUUAAUUUAUUUUUUGUGUUUUAAAAGUAUUGUUUUAAUAUUUGUGUAGUAAAAACCCAUUGCAGGUUACGCGAGGAUUUAGUAAUUGUUAAAACCUACGGCAGUUGAUUUUUUUUUUUAAAUAAAAAACCCAUAGCGAGUUAAGAAUUUAUUGAUUUAAUUACUUUUUACAAGUGCAUGUUUGAUAAUGAUAAAAUCACUGCACUGAAAGAAAUUCUAUGAAGAAUAUAAUUAUUGGUCUGUAUUUUUAAUGAAAUUUACAGAAUUAUUUAUACAAAAUAAAGACAAAGUAACUGUUGAAAGGCUUAAUAAUAUUAAAGGAGAAUAAGUGAAUACUUCCUAAACUAUUGGACAAUAUCUUUAUAAAAUAGGAAUGAAAUAUUCCUACAUGAUAUUGACAUUCAUGUGCAAAAAUCGUGCCGGAGAUAUUUCUUGACAAAUAACUUUGACGGGAGCAAGUCGAGUGGAGUGAUAAGCCGGACAUUCUUGACUUGACCGUUAAUGACUAGCUAAACAGCAUAAAUAAAUGUAUAACGAUUCUUAUAUAAAAAGCCACCACCCCAAGCCAAAAGAAAAAAAAAAAUUGUGCUGAAUACAACAAUAUAAUUUCUUCAGUUUUUACUUGGAAACAAGAGAGAUGAAUAUGAAGAAGCAGAAGCAGAAGCCAAAAGCUAUUGUAGUUGGAGGAAGCAUUGCUGGGGAAUCAUGCGCAAAAGCACUUAUUUCAGCAGGAUGGGAUGUUGUUGUGAUUGAGAAAACUCGUGGAUCCCCAACCCAAAACCCAACCGGUGCUGGCCUUGGACUCGAUCCAUUGGCUCAGAAAAUUGUUCAGUCAUGGCUCCAUGAACCUGAACUUCUUUACAACAACACUUUACCUAUCACCAUUACUGAGGUAUAUAAUAUAAUAUAUUUAAUUUCUUUUUUCCCAGUAGAAUCCAGUAGUGCUUUGAAAUAUUUUUUUUUUUGGUUUUAACCACGAGGUAUCCUGGGGAGGGCCCCAACUGUGGGAGGCACCUUUAAGCCCGUACCACAACCCACACUCGAACUGGGAGGCACAGGUUCCCCCAACAAAAUUGACUUUCCUGCGACACGUGUAUACUUUGAAUUAUACUGAUCUCUUAAAGAUAUUAGUUGCACACUGUGUAUAUACAAUGGUGUAUGGUUAAGAUUUGAAAAAAGUAUAUUUUGUUCUGCACAAAAUACAAUUUAGAAUGGAAUCUCAUUGUGAAAAAAAUAUCUAUAUAUGUUGAAUAGAUAAAAUUUCAAUUUGUGUUUAAUUGCAGUACCUAGCAACAGACGGGGAAAAGAAGAUCAGCUGGGUAAUAGGAAGAGAAGAAGGCGCUAAGUUUCUGAAUGCAUAUUGGGCUGAUCUUCAUGGCCUUAUAUACAAUACUCUGCCACCUGAAAUAUUUUUAUGGGGUCACCAAUACCUCUCUUUCUGUAUUUCUGAAGACAAAUUAACUGUCAAAGUUAGAGCUAAGGAUCUUCAGACUGCUGAAAUAAUCGAGAUAGUAGGAGAUUUGCUCGUUGGAGCAGAUGGGAUCCUCUCAUCAAUUGGUCGGAGCAUUCUACCUGACUUCAAAUUGAGGUUUGUGCUUGCUUGUGAAUAUCAAUAAAAGUAAUUAAUUUUUGAGUAUUUUGUUUCUUAAAUUUCAAUGUGUUUUUAAUAGGUACGCAGGAUACUGUGCGUGGAGAGGUGUUUUUAAUUUUUCAGAAAGCAAUUCAGAAACCAUCUUAGGCUUUCGAAAAUCGUAUCCUGAUAUUGGGAAAUGCCUUUACAUUAAUAUUGGUUCAGGAUCUCACAUCAUAGUCACUGAGCUUAAGAAAGAGAAGCUCAAUUGGGUUUGGUAUGUCAAUCAACCUGAGCCCGAGCUCAAGGUAACCGCUUACUUUUGUUUCAUCUUUUUAUUUUGUUUUCCGGGGUUUUGGGUUGAGUGCUAAAAUCUAAUUUUUGCAAACGAUCAACAAAGCUCAGACCAUCACUGGAUCCAAUUUUUUUUUUUUAAUUUUAAUUUUCCGGUUUAUCAAUGCAGUAUGACGUGACAUUGGGAAACAAAUUAUUUUAUUCUCUGCAGGGAAAUACAACUUCUGUGAAAGUAAGCAGUGACAUGAUCGAGGAGUUGCACCAAAGAGCAGAGCAGGUUUGGUUACCUGAAUUGUCAAGAAUGAUCAAAGAAACAAAGGAUCCUUUCCUUAAUGCUAUAUAUGAUCGGGAUCCUUUGGAGAAAAUCUUCUGGGACAGAGUGGUGUUAACAGGAGAUGCAGCUCACCCGACAACUCCACACUCUGCCAGAAGCACAAACAUGGCGAUAAUAGAUGCAGCAGUGUUAGGAAAAUGCCUCGAGAAGUGGGGGCCGGAUCAUUUAUACUCUGCUCUGGAAGAAUAUGAAUCCAUUAGGAAGCCUGUAACUUCAGCACAAGUUCUAUAUGCGCGACGAUUGGGUCAAAUGAAACAGGGGUUAAGUAUUCCUGGAAGGGAGCGGCCUUUUGAUCCAAAGACAGCAAGUCUAGAGGACUCGGAAUUCAUCGUUAACAUAAAAGUGCCUCUUUUCGACGUUGUUCCUCCGAUUCUUGAUUCAAUUUUUCGUUCUGCUUGAUAACUUCAAAGGACACGGUUGGUCUGUUCAUUAUGCUAACUAUAGCUGCCUAUAAAUAAGAGGGUUGACCUCAAUUGUGUGAGUGAAAGAACUGCUAUACUUAUGUUCCUUCCUGUAAUAACGAAAGCCUCUUAAUUCAGUGUCUCUACUUCUUCAGCAAAAUAAAAAUAAAUUCUUGAUCGAAAUACACCCAACUUUUCUAUUUUUCUUAUAAAAAUGACACCACGAUAGGAUGGGAUUGUCCUUGUGUUGUGUCAUUGAUCUAUCCAUAUUUGUUUUUCCCAAAAACAAUUUCCAUGAAGGAGGAUGUUUUGCUGCUUGUUAGUGCACGCUAUUUAAGCACAAGACAUGAUUGAGAUUUAUGCAAGGUAUGUGGUAGAAUUUAUGUAAGACGACCGAUGAUUCAUAAGGAAAGCUAAACAUGAGGGCUAAUAACUUUUACUAUGGUGAUCAACGCGUUGAAGAAAAUUUUUAGAAUUUUUAUUAUAAGUGGUGCAUACAAAAGUUGGUGAGUCGAACUUGUACUCAAAUACUAGCUCAUGUAUUAGGAGUUGCCUUAGGCUUACGUUAUUAAUCUAGUAACUAAUAUUAGCGAUAUGAAACAUUUUUUCUAUCAUCUUCCAUCACAUGUGUGUAGGUCAAUAUUUUUGUUUGGUCCUUGUCUAGUGAUAAGAUAAUGUGAGUGAUUUUGAGAGAAAAUAUGAAAAACACAAACUAUGAAAAUUCCCUUUUACUUAAACUAUGACAGAUUUGUUUACACUGAAGUUGAUAGAAGACAAUCGAAUGCGCAGGAGUGAAAUCUUGACAAAUUAAAGCGAGAACUAAGACAUGCUAGUCCUUUCUCGCGCAUUUAGUUGGCAUUAUUUUGCGUUGCAAAUAAAUGCGGGCACG
Molecule: long non-coding RNA, 16210 nt
Filed under: Citrus x clementina
Lineage: Eukaryota; Viridiplantae; Streptophyta; Magnoliopsida; Sapindales; Rutaceae
Description: Citrus clementina (C. clementina) long non-coding RNA (CCLE_LNC006435)
Source: RNAcentral